This 72-nucleotide non-coding RNA is filed under the name Pseudomonadota bacterium. Lineage: Bacteria; Pseudomonadati; Pseudomonadota. The record is from RNAcentral.
AGGCGAAACGGCGGUGUCUUUAUCCGCCGUCUGCGGAAGAUUAACCACUCCGCACUGAUGAGCCAGGUUAAA